Molecule: ribosomal RNA, 334 nt
Filed under: uncultured Pseudomonas sp.
Lineage: Bacteria; Pseudomonadati; Pseudomonadota; Gammaproteobacteria; Pseudomonadales; Pseudomonadaceae
Description: bacterial SSU rRNA
Rfam family: Bacterial small subunit ribosomal RNA
Source: RNAcentral
ACACAUGCAAGUCGAGCGGAUGACGGGAGCUUGCUCCUUGAUUCAGCGGCGGACGGGUGAGUAAUGCCUAGGAAUCUGCCUGGUAGUGGGGGACAACGUUUCGAAAGGAACGCUAAUACCGCAUACGUCCUACGGGAGAAAGCAGGGGACCUUCGGGCCUUGCGCUAUCAGAUGAGCCUAGGUCGGAUUAGCUAGUUGGUGGGGUAAUGGCUCACCAAGGCGACGAUCCGUAACUGGUCUGAGAGGAUGAUCAGUCACACUGGAACUGAGACACGGUCCAGACUCCUACGGGAGGCAGCAGUGGGGAAUAUUGGACAAUGGGCGAAAGCCUGAU